This 271-nucleotide unclassified non-coding RNA is filed under the name plant metagenome. RNAcentral's name for it is "partial contains small subunit ribosomal RNA, internal transcribed spacer 1, and 5.8S ribosomal RNA". The record is from RNAcentral.
UUUCCGUAGGUGAACCUGCGGAAGGAUCAUUAAUGAGUUGUCAUGGGGUUCGAUGCUGGCAGCCAGUUUUUGGAUGCAUGUGCUUGCCCUAACAAUCAUCUUCUUCCAAACACCUGUGCACAUUUUGAGGGAGUCUUGAGUUGGUUGCCGCUCUUGGGUGAUUUUCUCACAUUCCCUUAAAUCAUUAUACGCUAUUAACAAUGUUGUACGUGCUCUGUGCCGCAAGGCCAUUAAUAUAAUACAACUUUUAACAACGGAUCUCUUGGCUCUC